CCUGCAUGAAGUCGGAAUUGCUAGUAAUCGCGGAUCAGCAUGCCGCGGUGAAUACGUUCCCGGGCCUUGUACACACCGCCCGUCACACCAUGGGAGCCGGUAAUACCCGAAGUCAGUAGUCCAACCUCGUGAGGACGCUGCCGAAGGUAGGAUUGGCGACUGGGGUGAAGUCGUAACAAGGUACC
This 185-nucleotide ribosomal RNA is filed under the name uncultured bacterium. RNAcentral's name for it is "partial 16S ribosomal RNA". It matches the Rfam family "Bacterial small subunit ribosomal RNA", at positions 1315 to 1500 of the family's 1533-position model. The record is from RNAcentral.